UACGUAGGGUGCAAGCGUUGUCCGGAAUUAUUGGGCGUAAAGAGCUCGUAGGCGGUUUGUCGCGUCUGCUGUGAAAACGCGAGGCUCAACCUCGCGCCUGCAGUGGGUACGGGCAGACUAGAGUGCGGUAGGGGAGAUUGGAAUUCCUGGUGUAGCGGUGGAAUGCGCAGAUAUCAGGAGGAACACCGAUGGCGAAGGCAGAUCUCUGGGCCGUAACUGACACUGAGAGACGAAAGCUAGGGGAGCGAAUGGG
Molecule: ribosomal RNA, 253 nt
Filed under: uncultured bacterium
Lineage: Bacteria
Description: partial 16S ribosomal RNA
Rfam family: Bacterial small subunit ribosomal RNA
Source: RNAcentral